GAUGAAGAACGUAGCGAAAUGCGAUACGUAAUGUGAAUUGCAAAUUCAGUGAAUCAUCGAGUCUUUGAACGCACAUUGCGCCCGUCGGCAUUCCGGCGGGCACGCCUGUCCGAGCGUCAUCAGGAACCCAUCGGGCGGUCCCCUCGGGGACCGCCCGGCGUUGGGGCGCGCCGCCCGCGCCGUCAGGCGAAAGGCGGCGGCCCUCGAACCCAUCGGCGGUGCAUCGACGCGAGACCGACCGGCGUUGCGGAAUCGUCAAUCCGCCGGCGGCCGUCGAAGCUCCCUUCCGAAAGCUCCACGAGACGAAAAGGACCUCGGAUCAGGCGGGGUUACCCGCUGAACUUAAGAAUAUCAAUAAGCGGAGGA
RNAcentral lists this unclassified non-coding RNA (366 nucleotides) under soil metagenome. Its description in RNAcentral is "partial contains 5.8S ribosomal RNA, internal transcribed spacer 2, and large subunit ribosomal RNA". The stretch from base 1 to 119 matches the Rfam family "5.8S ribosomal RNA", at positions 35 to 154 of the family's 154-position model. The record is from RNAcentral.